UACGUAGGGGGCAAGCGUUGUCCGGAUUUAUUGGGUUUAAAGGGUGCGUAGGCGGUCUAUUAAGUCAGUGGUGAAAUACUCCAGCUUAACUGGAGGGGUGCCAUUGAUACUGAUGGACUUGAGUGAAGUCGAGGUAGGCGGAAUUGACGGUGUAGCGGUGAAAUGCUUAGAUAUCGUCAAGAACACCAAUAGUGAAGACAGCUUACUAGGCUUAUACUGACGCUGAGGCACGAAAGUGUGGGGAUCAAACAGG
Molecule: ribosomal RNA, 253 nt
Filed under: uncultured bacterium
Lineage: Bacteria
Description: partial 16S ribosomal RNA
Rfam family: Bacterial small subunit ribosomal RNA
Source: RNAcentral